UUUCCUAAAGAACACGGAUAGGAAAACGACAUCAUGGUGCAACGGGUGCAGUAAGAGGGGCAGGGAGAGUUCAGGCCUGGUAGGCUUCCCAGAAGCGGUGACUUCUGCAGGGGGCCUUGAAGGCUGAGUAGAAUUUUUGCCAGAUGGAACACAUAUUCUAGGUGUAAGGAAAAACGUGUGAAUGCAGGGAUGCAUGAGAAAGGGCACGUCGUGUGGUAGGAAGCUGGAAAUGUUUCUGUGGGGCAGGAACGGGAAGGAUGGGAGGGAUAGGGGCUGACCUGUGGGAGUGUGUCCACUUGGUCUGUGCCUUCUAAUCCACACCACCCCCGACAGAGAACCACAGGGCCUGGGAUCUCCAAAGGCACACCCUGCCCCACCUCCAGCACUGCCUCUCCUCUCCUGUAUUUUCAACUUGGACCCACCCUUGCAGAUCUAGUUCAGAUGCCACCUCUUCUGAUCCCCUCAGCCAGAAAUAACCUCUCCCUUUCUCUCAAUGCAUUCAGUUCUUUAUCGUACCUCUAGCUUUCUGACCUUGAUCAGAAGUUAUCCUGAGUCAUGUUUUACCUCCCUGGUAACAUCAUAACCUCCCUAGGGGCAAGGUACACAUCUUAUUUGUCUUUGCGGCCUCCAUGACACAGCUGGGGGGAGUGGGGCGGGCAAAGAAUAUUAGCUGAACAGACUGCAAAAUUACAUCGUCGUGAAUGCAGGUAGAAUUUAUAGCAUUCCAACUAGAGUAGCUACCGAACACUAUCAUGCUACCGAAGUUUGCUUUCAUUUUCUGGAAUACAUCAUUUUUGGACUCUUUUCCUAAGCUACCAAACCCAAAAAGCUGUAGCCACAUUCAACAGGCCCUGGAGAGUAGCCACACCUGGGGGACCCUCGGCAAAAAUCACUCAACCCCUUUGAGCUAGUUCCUCAUCUGUAAAACGCUGAUAAAAGCACUUUUGUGUGGCUGCUGAGAACCAAGUGUCUCAGCACAGUGCCGGGCACAGAGCAGAGGCCGGCAAACAGCCGCUGGCACCCUUCUGACUCCACAGAGCUGCUGCGCAGGGCUUAUGUGAGAGGGAUCUGUUUCAACAGCAGAGUACGAGCUGGAAAGCUCACCCAAGGAGCCAAACCUCCUACAAAUAAGGAAACUAAAGCCCAAAGAGGUCGCGUUACCCAGGGUCACAGCUCUAAGAAGUAUGGCAUUUGGGCAGAAUCAUACUUGUCUUCCCAAACUUUAGUGAGACAACCUUUCCAGUCUUGAUGACCAACUGGGUAUGACUCUAAACUGUCAAAAUCACUCAGUCAGAAACAAAACCGUAAGUGAAACCCCGUGAAGAUUGCUGAUUCUAUUCUCUACCUAUUUAGUCUAGUGGAAGAAGAAGCUAUGGCACUUUUGGAGUGAGAAGCAUUGUCCUUUACAAGCCCAGUGCUGAAAGGGGAUGUGACUUUACACGUGAUGGGAAGGACCUCAAGCUUCAGGUGCUACACCGGACCCUCUGGGCUCAGAAGGCCGUGUUCUAGAUCCAGCUUCCCUAGCAGCCAAGAGCUGUGUGACGGGAAACAGCGCCGCUAAGAAAGGAUGUUGGCUAGUAUACAGAGUGCUUUCACGUGUCUCAUUCAUUAAGCGAAUGUCGGGCACGUGCUGGGCCAUUUGUAACUGGGGUUACACACACAGGCACUGCCACAAGCCCUGCACCAAGUUACUGUAAUGUACUUAAUUCUGUCCCGAGUCUCGGCCGUGCCACUUGCAGCGCCUUCCACCUGGAAAAUUCUCCUCUUAAUGUCCUUCUAACCCAUUCAGGUCUCCACUCCGGCGUCAGGCCUAAGGACUGCUCACUCUACAGCAGCCCCCAUGGCACGCCUACAACGUGCCUCACGUUCUUCAGGGCUGUGGUCGACGCUGCGCCUCGGGCAGGGCCCGGAACACGGAGCUGUCCGGGAACUCUCAGGCAAAGGUCCUCGAGGUUCCAGAGACCCGGCCCUAACAUCACCCUGGCCAAAAGUUCUCAACGUCACGUGAAGACCCUGCCUGGACGUAGACUCCUAGGCCCCACCUCCAGACCUUCCGAUUUAAUGUACCCGAGAGGUGGUUCAAAGUGUGAAUUUUUAAAAUAAAUUUAUUUUAUUUUAUUUA
Long non-coding RNA from Physeter macrocephalus (sperm whale), 2122 nucleotides. RefSeq lists it as uncharacterized. The record is from RefSeq and is a predicted model, not a curated record. NCBI's taxonomy places the organism in Eukaryota, Metazoa, Chordata, Mammalia, Artiodactyla, Physeteridae. The transcript has 2 exons.